This 468-nucleotide ribosomal RNA is filed under the name uncultured bacterium. RNAcentral describes it as "partial 16S ribosomal RNA". It matches the Rfam family "Bacterial small subunit ribosomal RNA", at positions 28 to 507 of the family's 1533-position model. The record is from RNAcentral.
GACGAACGCUGGCGGUGUGCUUAACACAUGCAAGUCGAACGGAAAGGCCCUGCUUUUGUGGGGUGCUCGAGUGGCGAACGGGUGAGUAACACGUGAGUAACCUGCCCUUGACUUUGGGAUAACUUCAGGAAACUGGGGCUAAUACCGGAUAGGAGCUCCUGCUGCAUGGUGGGGGUUGGAAAGUUUCGGCGGUUGGGGAUAGACUCGCAGCUUAUCAGCUUGUUGGUGGGGUAGUGGCUUACCAAGGCUUUGACGGGUAGCCGGCCUGAGAGGGUGACCGGCCACAUUGGGACUGAGAUACGGCCCAGACUCCUACGGGAGGCAGCAGUGGGGAAUAUUGCACAAUGGGCGGAAGCCUGAUGCAGCAACGCCGCGUGCGGGAUGACGGCCUUCGGGUUGUAAACCGCUUUCGCCUGUGACGAAGCGUGAGUGACGGUAAUGGGUAAAGAAGCACCGGCUAACUACGUG